AGCAACUGAACCAUAUCAAGGAUGUCCUCUUAGGAUAUCAGAAUCAUUAUUUAAGAAACCAACAUAUUGCAUAAUCAGAAAUGGAUUUCUAUCUAUACAACUAGAACGCAAAAUUAGAUGCAUAGAUUUCAUUAAACUUACAAACAGAACAAAGCAGAAAAGCCCACAUGUGGAAUAACAAAGCCUUUUUUAACCCAAAGGGAAUAACAACGCUUACAUGAUGAAGAAGUUUGGUUAACCA
RNAcentral lists this unclassified non-coding RNA (241 nucleotides) under Hevea brasiliensis (rubber tree). The record is from RNAcentral. Lineage: Eukaryota; Viridiplantae; Streptophyta; Magnoliopsida; Malpighiales; Euphorbiaceae.